Non-coding RNA from Triticum aestivum (bread wheat), 108 nucleotides. The record is from Rfam. Lineage: Eukaryota; Viridiplantae; Streptophyta; Magnoliopsida; Poales; Poaceae.
GUAUCGUCAUGAGUUCAUUUCAACCACUUCACAUCGCACCAUCAAAAUGCCACCCUUGAUGAGUUUAUGGUGCAAUGUGAAGUGUUUGAGUGGAACUCAAGGUGACAU